UACGAAGGGGGCUAGCGUUGUUCGGAAUUACUGGGCGUAAAGCGCACGUAGGCGGAUUAGUAAGUCAGGGGUGAAAUCCCGGGGCUCAACCUCGGAACUGCCUUUGAUACUGCUGAUCUCGAGUCUGGAAGAGGUGAGUGGAAUUCAUAGUGUAGAGGUGAAAUUCGUAGAUAUUAGGAAGAACACCAGUGGCGAAGGCGGCUCACUGGUCCGGUACUGACGCUGAGGUGCGAAAGCGUGGGGAGCAGACAGG
This 253-nucleotide ribosomal RNA is filed under the name uncultured bacterium. Its description in RNAcentral is "partial 16S ribosomal RNA". It matches the Rfam family "Bacterial small subunit ribosomal RNA", at positions 524 to 776 of the family's 1533-position model. The record is from RNAcentral.